RNAcentral lists this ribosomal RNA (491 nucleotides) under uncultured bacterium. Its description in RNAcentral is "bacterial SSU rRNA". It matches the Rfam family "Bacterial small subunit ribosomal RNA", at positions 26 to 507 of the family's 1533-position model. The record is from RNAcentral.
AGGACGAACGCUGGCGGCGUGCUUAAUACAUGCAAGUCGAGCGAGGUUACUGGAGUGGAGCCCUUCGGGGUGAAGCUGCUUUAACCUAGCGGCGGACGGGUGAGUAACGCGUGGGUAACCUACCCCAAAGCCCGGGAUAACAGCGGGAAACCGCUGCUAAUACCGGAUGACUUUACCUUGGGGCAUCUUGAGGUAAAGAAAGGUUAACGCUUUGGGAUGGGCCCGCGUCCCAUUAGCUAGUUGGUGAGGUAACGGCUCACCAAGGCGACGAUGGGUAGCCGGCCUGAGAGGGUGGACGGCCACACUGGGACUGAGACACGGCCCAGACUCCUACGGGAGGCAGCAGUAGGGAAUAUUGCGCAAUGGACGGAAGUCUGACGCAGCGACGCCGCGUGAGCGAUGAAGGCCUUCGGGUCGUAAAGCUCUGUCCUUGGGGAAGAAGGUCUUCGGACUUGACGGUACCCAAGAAGAAAGCCCCGGCUAACUACGUG